This 1077-nucleotide ribosomal RNA is filed under the name Vibrio parahaemolyticus. RNAcentral describes it as "partial 23S ribosomal RNA". It matches the Rfam family "Bacterial large subunit ribosomal RNA", at positions 1 to 1123 of the family's 2925-position model. The record is from RNAcentral. Lineage: Bacteria; Pseudomonadati; Pseudomonadota; Gammaproteobacteria; Vibrionales; Vibrionaceae.
GUUGUAUGGUUAAGUGACUAAGCGUACACGGUGGAUGCCUUGGCAGUCAGAGGCGAUGAAAGACGUAGUAACUUGCGAUAAGCCCAGAUUAGGUAGUAACAACCAUUUGAGUCUGGGAUUUCUGAAUGGGGAAACCCACGUGCAUAAGCACGUAUCCUUACCUGAAUACAUAGGGUAAGGAGGCGAACCGGGGGAACUGAAACAUCUAAGUACCCCGAGGAAAAGAAAUCAACCGAGAUUCCGAAAGUAGCGGCGAGCGAAAUUGGACUAGCCCUUAAGCUUUACACGCGUUAGACGAACGGUCUGGAAAGUCCGACGAUACAGGGUGAUAGUCCCGUAGUUGACGACGUGUGUUCAGUGAAAUCGAGUAGGGCGGGACACGUGAUAUCCUGUCUGAAUAUGGGGGGGACCAUCCUCCAAGGCUAAAUACUACUGACUGACCGAUAGUGAACCAGUACCGUGAGGGAAAGGCGAAAAGAACCCCUGUGAGGGGAGUGAAAUAGAACCUGAAACCGUGUACGUACAAGCAGUAGGAGCAGGCUUUGUCCUGUGACUGCGUACCUUUUGUAUAAUGGGUCAGCGACUUAUAUUCAGUGGCAAGGUUAACCAUCUAGGGGAGCCGUAGGGAAACCGAGUCUUAACUGGGCGUUCAGUCUCUGGAUAUAGACCCGAAACCAGGUGAUCUAGCCAUGGGCAGGUUGAAGGUUGAGUAACAUCAACUGGAGGACCGAACCGACUAAUGUUGAAAAAUUAGCGGAUGACUUGUGGCUAGGGGUGAAAGGCCAAUCAAACCUGGAGAUAGCUGGUUCUCCCCGAAAGCUAUUUAGGUAGCGCCUCGGACGAAUACUACUGGGGGUAGAGCACUGUUAAGGCUAGGGGGUCAUCCCGACUUACCAACCCUUUGCAAACUCCGAAUACCAGUAAGUACUAUCCGGGAGACACACGGCGGGUGCUAACGUCCGUCGUGGAGAGGGAAACAACCCAGACCGCCAGCUAAGGUCCCAAAUUACUACUAAGUGGGAAACGAUGUGGGAAGGCUCAGACAGCCAGGAUGUUGGCUUAGAAGCAGCCAUCAUU